ACAAUAAUAUUUUUUAAACUCAUAACAACAACAAGAAAAAAACUUAAAACUAAACAAAACAAUAUUUAAGAUACGGUGGAAGGGGAUGAAGAAAUGAGAGAAUGAGAGAAUGUAUAUAUUUAUAGGAUGAGAAGUGAUGGAAGUUACAAUUU
RNAcentral lists this small RNA (152 nucleotides) under Arabidopsis thaliana (thale cress). RNAcentral describes it as "ATSL054010". Lineage: Eukaryota; Viridiplantae; Streptophyta; Magnoliopsida; Brassicales; Brassicaceae. The record is from RNAcentral.